CUCCAAUUAACAAUUCGUAAUACUAUUCAAAUCAAACAAGCUGAAUACAUAUCUCUACUUAUCAACUUAAACAAACUGCACCUAUAUACAUCUAGAUUAACACAUGAUUACAAAUCUGAAAAGUCGACUCAUUCCGAUCUCAUUUGUGAUUACAUCAAUUGCUAAUUCGAGUGUGUACCUGAAUUGGAAAGUGAGAAGAAGGAGAGGUAAAUCAGCAGCAGCAGAUAGCAAAUAAACAGCAGUAGCAGCAUCAGUAACAACCAGCACAAUGUUAAUCACAGGCAGAAACAGGUGAAUCCGAAACACAGUGGAACAAUAGUUUCUGAUUUUCGAACACUCAAAGAAAGAAGCUUGAAGCUUCAAUGAAACAAUAACAGUUAGUGCUGAUUUCAACAAUGAAGGGAAAAGCAGAAAUUUCUCAGUUUUUUUUAGCUCUUAAAAUCUGAAAUCAAUUUUUCCUUUUACUUAGACUCUGAAAAAUUUCUUGGUGUUUAGACCUCUAUUGUCUUAGGUUCUAAGAAUCUGAAGAGGGUUUUCUUUUUGCCUCUUUUGUUUUGUUUUCUCUCUAGUUCAAAAAAUAGACCCCCUUAAGUUCUAAAGACUCUCCUUCUCCUCUCAAAACUCCCUCCCUUUUGUAUAUCACAACAGGCCUCCCUUUUAGCACUUGGUCCAUUAGAAAACUGAUUUUCUCCCAUGCGAUCCCUUCUGUUUUUCCACUCAAAGCUCAAAAGAAAAGUAUUCCCCAUCAGAUUUCCCUGACAUCCCUCUUUUCAUUAUUAAAAUGGUUUUCCUUUAUUAAACUAAACAAGUAUGGGCAGCAUGAAUAUGUCCUCACAGCACAUGUUGUCAAGUUAACUUUAAUUCAUUAAAGAAAUACAAUUCACAUGCUUUCUAAUGUCCAAAAUCUAAAAUGAAUAAACAAGGCCAGUAAUUAUAUCUAAAGUGCAUAAAACAGGGCUAUCAAUUCAAUAUCAAUCCAAACUAAACUCUGAAAUCUAUAUUAAAACUGCAGCUAUAACCAAUUCAAACUCCUAAAUUCUGGAUUGAAACUUCAGAACAAAAUCAACAUCAACAAACAAAAGAGCUUAGCAGAAACAUUGAAGCUGAAGCUAAAACUGAAACCAAAAUUCAUCAAUGCUUAACAGAAAACCCAAUAACAACAUUACCAUGAAUCAGAACACAAACCUAUUGAACUAUCCAGGUCAAACUUCCAGUCAACAGUGGCACAUUAUGGGAAUGAUUAAUUCACAAUUCCAAAUUAAGCUAAAUAGAGUAAAGGAAAUCCUGCGAUAUACUGAACUUAACGAAGAUUGAUAAAUAUCAAAAAACAAAGAAGCCACACAUCACAUAUAGGGGACAAUCUGAACCAAAGUCAUACAUUACUUAAACAACAAAAGAAAACUACUGAAAUGGACUAUGAAAUCAAAACUAGGAUUAAAACUAACUAUCAUGUUAAACUGACUCACACAUAACGAACUAAUAAACUGACCAAACAGUUUACAACAUAUAAACAAACAAUUAGAGAAACUGGACCCAAUAAACGGUCUGAUGAGAAGGAAAGAAGUACUGAACAAAUGCCCAGAAACAAAUCAAGACAAAGAUACAAUUUAAAAACAGACAAACAAAACUAUAGAAGGAAACAAAAGAAAUUAAGGAGAACUUACUAUUCUUUUCUUGGAUUUCAAUAGUAUGCCCUUUCGAACUUGAGUCCUAGUCAGUAUCAUACGUCUAUUUCGUGAGAAAUAGGCCUACAAUACUGAAUAGAAACCAAUCGACCUUGAAGCUUUAACACGUCUUGAACCGUUGAAAACCCUAGAUCCGUCAUUCAACGGGUUUUACUCAUGUUCGAGCCAAUUUGGUUAGGGAUUAAGGACGAGGAGGUAAAGGGGAUUUUUGGGUGUUAGUCUGGGGUCAAAGGGAUAGGCUAGGGCUUGGAGGGGAGAUCUUUGAUCGAAGAUUCUAGGAGAUCCAACGGGAUUCGAGGGAAUAUGUUGAUGGUUUAGGGAUGAGGGAAGCCUAGUGGUGGUGUGGUGUUAAUUAGGGGUGGAUUGGGGUGGUUUCAUGGUCAGCUCGAAACUUUGAUUGAAGAUUCGAGAAGAUGUGGGGUGAUUCGAGGCAAAUGGUUCAUGGAUUCGUGUUGUGGAUGGGGAGAUGGCUCAGGGGUGUCAUUUUGGUGGUCACCGGCGUUGUUGCCGCCGGGUUUAAUGGUGAGGGGGUGGAAGGGCGGCGCUAGUGUUCUAGGGGUUGUCUAGUCUCUGUGGGAGAGACGAAUGAAUGGGGGUAGUG
Molecule: long non-coding RNA, 2286 nt
Filed under: Nicotiana tabacum (common tobacco)
Lineage: Eukaryota; Viridiplantae; Streptophyta; Magnoliopsida; Solanales; Solanaceae
Description: long non-coding RNA (NTAB_LNC007607)
Source: RNAcentral